ACUUAAAUUGAAGAGUUUGAUCAUGGCUCAGAUUGAACGCUGGCGGCAGGCCUAACACAUGCAAGUCGAGCGGUAGCACAGAGAGCUUGCUCUCGGGUGACGAGCGGCGGACGGGUGAGUAAUGUCUGGGAAACUGCCUGAUGGAGGGGGAUAACUACUGGAAACGGUAGCUAAUACCGCAUAAUGUCGCAAGA
Molecule: ribosomal RNA, 194 nt
Filed under: Klebsiella pneumoniae subsp. pneumoniae KPNIH21
Lineage: Bacteria; Pseudomonadati; Pseudomonadota; Gammaproteobacteria; Enterobacterales; Enterobacteriaceae
Description: partial 16S ribosomal RNA
Rfam family: Bacterial small subunit ribosomal RNA
Source: RNAcentral